Molecule: transfer RNA, 75 nt
Filed under: Sulfolobales archaeon HS-7
Lineage: Archaea; Thermoproteati; Thermoproteota; Thermoprotei; Sulfolobales
Rfam family: tRNA
About the family: Transfer RNA (tRNA) molecules are approximately 80 nucleotides in length. Their secondary structure includes four short double-helical elements and three loops (D, anti-codon, and T loops).
Source: Rfam by way of RNAcentral
GCCGCGAUAGCUCAGUUCUGGCAGAGCGCAGGGCUGUUAACCCUGUGGUCGGAGGUUCGAGUCCUCCUCGCGGCG